UCUUAAAAAAAAAAGAGAGAGAGAGAGAGGAAGGGCUUAAAAACUAAGAGCAGAUACAAAGUGCAACUUGCCACUUUCCCAACACUAAGAGCUCUCUCUCUCUCUCUCUCUCUCUCUCUUUUUUUUUUU
This 129-nucleotide microRNA precursor is filed under the name Marmota monax (woodchuck). Lineage: Eukaryota; Metazoa; Chordata; Mammalia; Rodentia; Sciuridae. The record is from RNAcentral.